Molecule: RNA transcript, 1316 nt
Organism: Cryptomeria japonica (Japanese cedar)
Lineage: Eukaryota; Viridiplantae; Streptophyta; Pinopsida; Cupressales; Cupressaceae
Exons: 7
Source: RefSeq, a predicted model, not a curated record
UGUUCUAUUAUAAUCUGUCCAUCUAUAUAAACUCUACUUUUACCUUCUCCGUUUAAUAUCUUCCCGCUUGCCAAGUUACAUAAAUUUUAAGGAAAAAAAGUGAUCCAAAAAUUUGAAUCCCAAAACCUUCUAAAUUAAACAGACCCAACGGUAGGCGUACCAGUUUUUACAUAUUGCAGCACCAUAUUUGAAUUUUUGUUAUCCCAAAUGGUAGAAAUUCAUGUUAAGCAGAGCGAUCAGCGGCAAUUCCUGUACGAAUGCCCUGCAACCCGAAGUGUGGAUAUCAUCAUCAGAGACAUUGUUAGCAUUCACAACCUCCAAUCCGCAAUACAAAAUCUUGUAGAUCACGGAGAGCAGCUCAUUCUAUACGGAACCGCAAAACCCCAAGAUACAGAGACUUCUGAUGCAGAUAAUUCUAAAUUAAGAGAUUCCUUGUAUAAUAACCCUUCUGGAAGGCGUACUGGAGAAGCAUGUGAUCCAACUGGUGCUGAGACCUUGAGGAGAACACUGACAGAAGCAGAUGCGUAUGUUUCUAAGAACCAGGUUCUGCACAAAAUCCCACUUGCAUUGAAUGCGUUAAAGGAUCAUAUUGAAAAUAUAAGAGCAGCAGUUAUGAUUUGUUAUCCUAUGGGUCUGCCAAGUUGUGAUCCAGUACAACAACUUCUGGAUGGCACCUUCGGAGGUGAGGAGCUAUUUGAUCUAGAGACAGCUCAACUAUGGUGGGCUGGUAAAGAGUUGAUGCGUGACAAGAAGUUGUCUGAUCGUGUUGGAAAGAAUGAGAAAACAAAGAUCAUUGCCAAGCUACAAGCAAGAGGUCAUGGUCCUCCUACCCGUGAACCACCAGUGGAUGCUGAAAUUUUGAAAGCAAUGAUGACUAGGCACAAAAAAGAAGAGGAGGCAUGAGAAUUUGCAAACAGAAUAAUUUUUUAUGGGUUUUGAUGUUAUUGCUUCAGAUAAGCUGGAAGAUGAGAAGGAUGAUUUGCACCCAAACCCCUCAUGGACAAACCCCAAAUCCAUGAAGGCUCAAUUUUAAGGCUUGUCUGAAACUAGAAUAGUGUAUGAAUUGGUUAAACAUCAUGAUUGAUCCUCCAUUUCAUUAUAAAUAUACAUUCGUACAAGUUGCAACUCUGACAUCUUAUAGCUACAGUUCAUGGAUAAAACUUCAAGAAGGUUUAAAAAUCCCACAUAUUUCUGAAAAUAGUAUAUUGUUUGAAUUAGUUAUACUUCAUGAUUGAUCCUCAACAUUUCUUUGGGGUGCUGGGACAAUUUUCACAUGGUUUUUUGUUGUUUCAAGACAUCCAUUUUUCUUUUACAUA